UGUGCUGACGCCAUCUUUAACACGCAAAAUGUUGACCACCACUCAAUUAUUUUUGUCCAUUUAUGAACUACUUUUUGACUCGCUAUUUCCUUUCAUUUUCUUCUGCAUUUCCUUUUUUUCCUCCCAAAUUCAUUAAUUCUAUGCAGUUUUAACACGCAUCAUGGGAUUGUCAAGAACGGAAUUGAUAGGUUUCCGCUGUUUGGGACCCUACUUCAUUUCCCCUCUAUUCUCUCUCUCUCUCUGCGCCUGAGUCUCCACCGCCCGCCGUCUGCUCAUCGCCGGAGGAAGCCUGCUCCCCCCACCUUCUCCGCCCUAGUCGUCUUCUCUUCCACUUGCCUUUCCCCUACUGGUCGUCGAAGGAAGCCUUCUCCUCCCUCUGGCCUUCCCUCGCGUCGUCACGGCAGCCCUCGUCGCCGCUGCUUCUUCCUCUAAUUCUCCAGUCAACAUCAGUAUUAAGUCGUUGCCACCGCCUCUUUCCCCCAAACCUCAGGUCCCUAAACCCCUUCAAGGCGAGGAUGUUGCAGGUGAGGGCAAUUGGGACAGAUCUGGUGAGGUGAGGGCGGCCAUGUAGGUGGGGGACGUCGGCGGCGAGAUUCGAUAUCAAUUCGUCGAACUUGCUCCUUGCCGACUGCAAAUUUCUUCCCUCAUUUCUUGUUGUUGUUCACCCAGUUCAUGCUUUAAUUGCUUGAAAAUUUGUUGCUUUUUUGUUAUUGCUCAUCGCCCAUUUCUUGAUUUGGGUGAAAUGCUACUGAAGGAAGAGAUUUCAUUUUCGUUGGAAGAGAUCGCCCCUCUGUUGUUAGACGAUUCCCUCAGAUUUCAUAAUGGAAGAGAUUUCAUUUUCAUUUUUUUUGCUAUGUGUCUUCAAUUUCAGAUUUCAAUUUCAGAAGUGUAUUAGGCAGCUUUAGGUAUAUUACAGAUUAUUAAUUUAUUACAGAUUUU
Long non-coding RNA from Salvia miltiorrhiza (redroot sage), 939 nucleotides. RefSeq lists it as uncharacterized. The transcript has 2 exons. Lineage: Eukaryota; Viridiplantae; Streptophyta; Magnoliopsida; Lamiales; Lamiaceae. The record is from RefSeq and is a predicted model, not a curated record.